GGGUGUAACUCAAUGGUAGAGUAGAAGCCUUCCAAGCUUAAUGUGAGGGUUCGAUUCCCUUCACCC
This 66-nucleotide transfer RNA is filed under the name human oral metagenome. It matches the Rfam family "tRNA". From Rfam's summary of the family: Transfer RNA (tRNA) molecules are approximately 80 nucleotides in length. Their secondary structure includes four short double-helical elements and three loops (D, anti-codon, and T loops). Further hydrogen bonds mediate the characteristic L-shaped molecular structure. tRNAs have two regions of fundamental functional importance: the anti-codon, which is responsible for specific mRNA codon recognition, and the 3' end, to which the tRNAs corresponding amino acid is attached (by aminoacyl-tRNA synthetases). tRNAs cope with the degeneracy of the genetic code in two manners: having more than one tRNA (with a specific anti-codon) for a particular amino acid; and 'wobble' base-pairing, i.e. permitting non-standard base-pairing at the 3rd anti-codon position. The record is from RNAcentral.